Amaranthus tricolor (Joseph's coat) is the source of this 3209-nucleotide RNA transcript. It is a transcript of the gene named DEAD-box ATP-dependent RNA helicase 21, with no coding region annotated. The transcript is spliced from 4 exons. NCBI's taxonomy places the organism in Eukaryota, Viridiplantae, Streptophyta, Magnoliopsida, Caryophyllales, Amaranthaceae. The record is from RefSeq and is a predicted model, not a curated record.
ACUAAGCCACAAAUGAUACAGUAAAUGUUAAAAUACUCCGUCAUAGUUCCGAAAUCAGAAAAGAAUAACGAGCGACACAUCUGUGAAAACCCUAACCGGAAUCUCGAAGUCCUCGACCACCAUUGACGACCGUGCUUGCUUCUUGAUCAUUUUUUAAUACGAAUCAGACACUUUUGAAUACAAUGAAGCGAUCCUUUGAAGAAGUUGCUAAUAAUGUGAAGCCUGUGUUCUUGACUAAAGCACAGAGAGAGCAGUUGGCUCUGCAAAGGAGACAAGAAGAAGUUGCUGAACAGAGACGUCGUGCUGAACUUCUUAAAGGCCAUUCUUCUGACAAAGAAUCCUUAGAUUCUUCUCAUCACCGCUCCUCUCGUGAUGGUGAUCGUGAUCGUUAUCGUGACCGUGACCGUGAUCGAGAGAGGGAGCGUGAACGAGAAAGAGAGCGUGAUCGUGAGAGAGAGCGUGAUCGUGACAUUGAGAGGCGGAAUCGUGAGAAGGAACGUGAAGAGGAGAGCAAAGCUAGGGAUCGGGCAAGGCUAGAGAAGUUGACGGAGAGAGAGAGGGAAAAGGAACUAGAGCUUAUUAAAGAGCAGUAUUUAGGUUCAAAGAAGCCAAAGAAGCGAGUGAUAAAGCCUAGUGAGAAGUUCCGCUUCUCCUUUGAUUGGGAGAACACUGAAGACACCUCUCGUGAUAUGAAUGCCCUGUAUCAGAAUCCUCAUGAGGCUCAGCUGUUGUUUGGUAGAGGAUUUCGAGCGGGAAUAGACCGUAGGGAGCAGAAGAAGCUGGCUGCUAAAAAUGAAGUCGAGUUACGUGAGGAAAUUCGCCGAAAAGAUGGCACUGAAGAGAAUCCAGAGGAAGCUGCUGCACUACGACGCCGGGAGCAAGCUGCUGAAAAGUACGAAAGCCAUGAUAUGAGGGUUGAUCGCCACUGGUCUGAAAAGAGGCUUGAAGAAAUGACAGACAGGGACUGGAGAAUUUUCAGGGAGGACUUUAAUAUAUCUUAUAAAGGUUCAAGGAUACCUAGGCCAAUGAGGAAUUGGGUGGAGAGUAAAUUGAGUUCAGAGCUGCUGAAAGCUGUGGAGCGAGCUGGCUACAAGACUCCUUCUCCUAUUCAGAUGGCAGCUAUUCCGUUGGGACUUCAGCAACGAGACGUCAUUGGCAUUGCGGAGACUGGUUCGGGUAAGACGGCUGCUUUUGUUCUUCCUAUGUUGGCUUACAUUACUAGGCUGCCACCGAUUACUGAGGAGAAUGAGGCUGAGGGUCCUUAUGCUGUUGUUAUGGCUCCUACCCGUGAACUCGCACAACAGAUUGAAGAAGAAACCGUUAAGUUUGCACACUAUCUGGGCAUCAAGGUUGUCUCCAUUGUUGGUGGGCAAUCCAUCGAGGAGCAAGGAUUUAAAAUCAGACAGGGCUGUGAGAUUGUUAUUGCAACUCCUGGACGUCUCUUGGAUUGUCUGGAAAGGCGUUAUGUUGUUCUAAAUCAAUGCAAUUAUGUUGUUCUUGAUGAGGCUGAUCGGAUGAUAGAUAUGGGUUUUGAGCCACAGGUUGUUGGUGUCUUGGAGGCAAUGCCUUCUAGUAAUAUGAAGCCUGAGAAUGAAGAAGAGGAGCUUGAUGAGAGAAAGAUUUACCGGACCACCUAUAUGUUUAGCGCAACUAUGCCACCUGCUGUUGAGCGGCUAGCCAGGAAGUUCUUAAGGAAUCCUGUAGUGGUAACUAUUGGCACAGCUGGGAAAGCCACUGACCUCAUUACACAACAUGUCAUCAUGAUGAAGGACUCAGAAAAAACUUUCAGGUUACAGAAAUUGCUCGAUGAUUUAGGUGAUAAGACAGCUAUAGUGUUUGUUAACACCAAGAAGACUGCUGAUGUGCUUGCGAAAAAUUUGGACAAGGCAGGCUAUCGAGUCACUACUUUGCAUGGUGGAAAAUCACAGGAACAAAGAGAAAUUAGCCUUGAAGGUUUCAGGACCAAGAGGUACAAUGUCAUGGUUGCAACUGAUGUUGCAGGGCGUGGUAUAGAUAUACCUGAUGUUGCACAUGUGAUAAACUAUGAUAUGCCUGGUAAUAUUGAGAUGUAUACACAUCGCAUUGGUCGUACUGGUAGAGCCGGGAAGACUGGUGUGGCGACUACCUUUUUGACCUUGCAUGACACUGAUGUCUUCUUUGAUCUAAAGCAAAUGCUUGUUCAGAGUAAUAGUCCUGUUCCACCUGAACUUGCAAGACAUGAAGCCUCUAAAUUUAAGCCUGGGACAGUUCCUGAUAGACCUCCUAGACGCAAUGAAACUCUUUUUGCUCAUUGAUGAUUUUGCUUUUCUGAGACGGUGUAUUGAUAAAGUUUCUCCAGAUUUUGAUUUCUAGCUUUCUGCAAAGGAGCCUCAUGCACAAGAGGUGCGACCCAGUAACAAUUGCAAAUCAUAAAAGCACAGCAAACGAGGAGCGAAGACUUUUUGAUAGCAAAAGAGGAGGAGAGACAUACGGAGGAACAAGAAUUGGAGCAAAUAGAUUCACAAUUUGUAUAAUGACACAACUUUUGGCGGUGCAGGUUGUACACUUUUGUUAUGAAUUUGUAUUAUGGAACAUCAAGCAGGUUGUUAAGGCCAAUGCACAAGCCACAAAUCAUAUGUAUAUUGCGGAAAUUCUUUACGAUUUACCAUUGUUCACUUAGUGAUAUGUUAAGUUGUAAAAUGAAAAUUUGGCUAAUUGAGUGUUAAGUAGAGUAACAUGUUUGAAGUUUGAACAAUUGAGUUCUAUGGAGUUGGCACAAAACCUCUCCCUGUCUAAGACAUCAGGGAAGAACCAGUAGGAAAUGUCAUCAAGGCGAACAAAUAUUUGCUGCUUAUUUUAUUAUUUGCAAGUCAUGCCAUCUUCAUGGAUUACGAAGAUUAUGCUAUGUCCCACAAAAUAUGGCAACAACAAACAACUCAAAUCACCUACCAUUGAAGGUGGAGAAGGAAUGGAUUUGAAAUCAUAGUGUACACUUGUAUUAUAGAGAAUUCCAAGGAAAAUAGGUUUGAUGUGUCAAUUUUUUUCAUCUUGAUUUGAUGAAACAUCAGUCAAUUUUUGCUUUAUUGACUUCUAUGGUAUGGAUCAUGGAUGUAUUCCCAAAACUAAAGAGGGUAGCAUGUUGAUGCUUGAAAGCAUAGUUAACAAUGUCCUAAGUUUUGGUGGCAUAAAAUGAUUAGUUAAUUGUAAGACUACUACUCAAGUUUUCUAAA